Molecule: ribosomal RNA, 929 nt
Filed under: uncultured eukaryote
Lineage: Eukaryota
Description: SSU rRNA
Rfam family: Eukaryotic small subunit ribosomal RNA
Source: RNAcentral
GAAACUGCGAAUGGCUCAUUAAAUCAGUUAUGGUUUAUUUGAUGGUACCUUGCUACUUGGAUAACCGUAGUAAUUCUAGAGCUAAUACAUGCAGGAGUUCCCGACUCACGGAGGGAUGUAUUUAUUAGAUAAGAAACCAAACCGGUCUCCGGUUGCGUGCUGAGUCAUAAUAACUGCUCGAAUCGCACGGCUCUACGCCGGCGAUGGUUCAUUCAAAUUUCUGCCCUAUCAGCUUUCGAUGGUAGGAUAGAGGCCUACCAUGGCGUUAACGGGUAACGGAGAAUUAGGGUUCGAUUCCGGAGAGGGAGCCUGAGAAAUGGCUACCACAUCCAAGGAAGGCAGCAGGCGCGUAAAUUGCCCGAAUCCUGACACAGGGAGGUAGUGACAAGAAAUAACAAUACAGGGCUAUUUUAGUCUUGUAAUUGGAAUGAGUACAAUUUACAUCUCUUCACGAGGAUCAACUGGAGGGCAAGUCUGGUGCCAGCAGCCGCGGUAAUUCCAGCUCCAAUAGCGUAUAUUAAAGUUGUUGCAGUUAAAACGCUCGUAGUCGGAUUCGGGGCGGGCCGACCGGUCUGCCGAUGGGUAUGCACUGGCCGGCGCGUCCUUCCACCCGGAGACCGCGCCUACUCUUAACUGAGCGGGCGCGGGAGACGGGUCUUUUACUUUGAAAAAAUCAGAGUGUUUCAAGCAGGCAGUCGCUCUUGCAUGGAUUAGCAUGGGAUAAUGAAAUAGGACUCUGGUGCUAUUUUGUUGGUUUCGAACACCGGAGUAAUGAUUAACAGGGACAGUCAGGGGCACUCGUAUUCCGCCGAGAGAGGUGAAAUUCUCAGACCAGCGGAAGACGAACCACUGCGAAAGCAUUUGCCAGGGAUGUUUUCACUGAUCAAGAACGAAAGUUAGGGGAUCGAAGACGAUCAGAUACCGUCGUA